AGAUUAAAUCAAGCACAAGAGAAAAUGAUGCAAUCAAGAGACACAGGAAACUUGAGAUAUAUAAUGCUGCUGCCAGUUUAACACAGCAUCCUGUUUUCCUAAACUUUUUUUAUUCUAGAAGCUACCCACAUUCUUCAGCUCAUGGCCUCUUUCCUCCAUCUCUAGCCAGCAAGGUUCUGGGGAUUGUGACAUGGACAUCUUUCAGGGGACAUUAUUCUGCACCAUACCCAAUGAAAAUAUCCUUCAGGAAUGAAGGGAAAAUCGAGACAUUCCCAAUGAAGGAAAACUAAGAGAAUUUGUCACCAGCAGACCUACCCUAAAUGAAUGGC
Molecule: long non-coding RNA, 329 nt
Filed under: Equus asinus (donkey)
Lineage: Eukaryota; Metazoa; Chordata; Mammalia; Perissodactyla; Equidae
Description: lncRNA (ENSEASG00005029895.1)
Source: RNAcentral